This 1422-nucleotide long non-coding RNA is filed under the name Homo sapiens (human). RNAcentral's name for it is "long intergenic non-protein coding RNA 2372". Lineage: Eukaryota; Metazoa; Chordata; Mammalia; Primates; Hominidae. The record is from RNAcentral.
AAGCAUUCUCUUGCAUUCCACCCGGGGAACAAGACAGCACCGGGUUUCACACUGGCAAGGCAGGAGGCUGUGUGCUGCCAGAACGACCAGCAGGGGGCGCAAAGGCCACGCCAGGCACCUGCUGGCCUCAGAGAAAACAGAAAGGGAACCAGGAAGCCCACUCCUGCUGUCCUUUCUCUGCAAGGAAAUGUGCCAGGGCACUGCAGCCCAGACAGUCGGCAGUAGAGGACCCAUGAAGUAUCUUUGUGCAAAGAAAGCAGCAAAGAGAAUUAAGAGAAUUGCAUCAUAUAAAGAGUGAAUUAAACCAUCUAAAGGAGCAAAAAUUCAUCAUCACAUGGACAAGAAAUUAAGACCUGGAAACCUAGGAGCAGAAGCCCAGCAUAAAGAUCUCUGAAAGCCUGGAUGCGUGGAUUCCUCUCUUACUUCCCAAAACGGUGGGGUGGAAAUGUGAAUAUCAGCAUGAUGCACAGAUCUCUGCAGAUGUCCAGCGAACUGAAUUUCUAGACGCUAUAAUCUAUGUUCUUUCCCAACCCCCACUUCAGUUUACAUAUCGCAGGCCAUAGAUCCUGUUUGUUGAAAAGCGAUCAGCUAGAAAACAAGAGUGGUUAUAACCUGUGCUGCCCAGUGAUCAGGAAAAGAGAGCGGAUGAAACUUCCAUGACUUUCUGUUAGUCUGAUUAAUAUCCAUGCCAAAUGUAAGAUUAGUUAAAAGGCCUUAUUGCUUCCCACCAAAAUGUUCCUUCACUAGCUAUAUACUACACUGAAAUGUAAAGUUAUGGGUAUGUUUAACAGUUUAAUUUGUCAGUGGGCAUCCAACUCUUCUAUUUGUGUUUUUACUUUGAGCUUAAUUGGAGCAGACAAAUAGAGGUGACCUCUAACUGUUUUCUUCCUGAAGCCAUUUUCAGGGCAGAAGUGCUUUACCCACUUCAUUGAGAAACCACCUUUGCAUGCAGUACCCUGAGCUGUCUUCAGCACACCAAGCAUCCACAACAUGGGAAAUACCGUGCUUUAAAUGUUGCUUUAAUCACAGUGCUCAUGAGUAAGGGCAUGUCCUGUCUCUUAUCCAUGAAAACACUCCCACAAAAUGAAGUCACACCCAGUAUCUGUUAACGGAGAUACUGAGUGGGUGAAGAAGACUCAUUCCCUAAUGCAAUUCAGGUCACACAGGGUAAAAAAGAAAAAAAAAUCCUUUUCUGUUGAGGAUACAGAUGGAGAGAAAAUGGAAAAUGCCUUUCAGGAAGCACAAGCCUAGUUUUCUAAUUGUGUUUCAGUGAACACGCAGGUGAACUUACCUGUGUGGCUUGGUAUUGUGGUGGGUUUUCAGCUUCUUCUCCACCAAAUCCUUUGAAAAGCAGCAGUGGCAGAAACAAAUAACCCAAUUAAAAACAAUAAUAGCAACAAUAAAAAAAGAAAAGAUGAAGAA